UAACAUGCGCAGUGGCGGUACCGUAGCCAGUGAAGUUUAUCUGAAGGGCGGUUAUUGCUAGUUAAAAACUACUCCCAAUAUUCCACAAUGAUGGCGUGAAAUAUCGUCGUCAGAUGCAAUUUUUCCAGGCUGUCAAAGGC
This 140-nucleotide small nuclear RNA is filed under the name Trichobilharzia regenti. RNAcentral describes it as "U4 spliceosomal RNA". It matches the Rfam family "U4 spliceosomal RNA". Rfam says of the family: U4 small nuclear RNA (U4 snRNA) is a component of the major U2-dependent spliceosome. The structure of U4 snRNA from yeast and human has been reported. Lineage: Eukaryota; Metazoa; Platyhelminthes; Trematoda; Strigeidida; Schistosomatidae. The record is from Rfam by way of RNAcentral.